This 497-nucleotide ribosomal RNA is filed under the name uncultured bacterium. Its description in RNAcentral is "partial 16S ribosomal RNA". It matches the Rfam family "Bacterial small subunit ribosomal RNA", at positions 28 to 507 of the family's 1533-position model. The record is from RNAcentral.
GAUGAACGCUGGCGGCGUGCCUAAUACAUGCAAGUCGAGCGAACGGACGAGAAGCUUGCUCCGCUGAUGUUAGCGGCGGACGGGUGAGUAACAUGUGGAUAACCUAACUAUAAGACUGGUGUAACUUCGGGAAACCUUACCUAAUACCGGAUAAUAUUUUGAACCUAAUGGUUCAAAAGUGAAAGACGGUAUUGCUGUCACUUAUAGAUGGACCCGCGCUUCAUUAGCUAGUUGGUACGGUAACGGCUUACCAAGGCAACGAUGCAUAGACGACCUGAGAGGGUCAUUCACCACCCGGGAUCUGAGAAACGGCCCACACUCCUACAGUGGGACGCAGCACGGAAUCUUCCGCGAGGGACCAAUGCCUGACGUAGCGCAGCCGGGUGAGUCAUGACGCUCUUCUGCUCCUAGAACUCUGUUAUUAGGAAAGUCCAUAUGUGUAAGCACCUGUGCACAUCUUGACGGUACCUAAUCAGAAAGCCACGGCUAACUACGUG